UUUUUGUUUGAACCUGAAGAUGAUGCAAUAAGCAUCAAAAACAUGAGUAUUAAAAUAUGUUUUUGAUUUUACACCUGCUGUAAAGUGCUUGUUUGGUAAUAUACUGUGAAAGUAAUGACGAAGCAGUUUUAAUAACACUAUGAACCAAGUUGAGCUGAGCUAGAUCGUAAGAGAUUAUACAAAAGCUAUUCACAAGAAGAUUAAAACUUUUGAAACCUUGAAAUUUUUAGAACAGUGCAAGAUUAAUGCAGUUUAUCCAAUGUCUAUCAGCAAUGUAAAAUUACCUGUAACCUCGAAGAAAGUGCUAGUAAACACAAAAAGGAUUUGCAUGAAAGCUGCCCUAGCAGAUGCCAAAAGAAAGUUUUUUUAGAAGCAUUAAUGCCAUAACAACAUUAGAAAAUAAGUUACAACAACUACAGGUACAUGAGCAUAUACUAGAAGAAAUUGUAAACAAACAGGAGAAUUUCAGAAAACAGUUAAGAGAGAAACAUAUUAAAAAAUCAAGUGGAUCUUCUAUAAACAGCACAUCACUAAAAGUAACACUCGCUUACCGAUAGACAAAGUAGUUACAGUAAUUGUGAUAUAAUCUUACCAUCCUUUGCAUUUAAGCUUUUUGAAAAUGGACCGAUUUGCACUAUUGAAGAUAAACCGGACAUAAAGUCAGAAAUACAUACCUUAGAGGACUUGUUAGAUAAUCCGCAAUUACAACCACUAGAAAAGGAGAAAAUUAGAUGGCAGUUUGUCAGAGAAAAAUCCAACGGACAGUCCGCCGUUUACAGAAGAACACCAGCGAACCUCCACAAGUUAAUUAAAGAAACCAAACAAUGAAUGAAAAGAAAUAAUAUAACAAUAACUAGAGAAGACAAAACUAAAAAAAUGGUCCUUAUAAAAGAAGACAAUUAUAAGGCAUACUUGCAACAGUACAUACAAGACUCGGCCCCAAUAUUACUAAAGGAAGACCCCACACAAAAAAUUAGC
This 978-nucleotide long non-coding RNA is filed under the name Androctonus crassicauda. The record is from RNAcentral. Lineage: Eukaryota; Metazoa; Arthropoda; Arachnida; Scorpiones; Buthidae.